GAUGAAGAACGUAGCGAAAUGCGAUAAGUAAUGUGAAUUGCAGAAUUCAGUGAAUCAUCGAAUCUUUGAACGCACCUUGCGCCCUUUGGCCAUUCCGAAGGGCAUGCCUGUUUGAGUAUCAUGAACACCUCAACUCUUUAUGGUUUUCCAUGAUGAGCUUGGACUCUGGGGGUUUUGCCGGCUCACAGUCGGCUCCUCUAAAAUGAAUCAGCUUACCAGUGUUUGGUGGGUAUCAUGGGUGUGAUAACUAUCUACGCUUGUGGUUUUUCCACCAGGUAACCUUCAGCAGUGGAGGUUCGCUGGAGCUCAUAGAUGUCUCUCCUCAGUGAGGACAGCCCUUUGAAUGUUUGAUCUCAAAUCAGGUAGGACUACCCGCUGAACUUAAGCAUAUCAAUAAGCGGAGGA
RNAcentral lists this unclassified non-coding RNA (405 nucleotides) under soil metagenome. RNAcentral describes it as "partial contains 5.8S ribosomal RNA, internal transcribed spacer 2, and large subunit ribosomal RNA". The stretch from base 1 to 121 matches the Rfam family "5.8S ribosomal RNA", at positions 35 to 154 of the family's 154-position model. The record is from RNAcentral.